CCUACGGGUGGCUGCAGUGGGGAAUAUUGGACAAUGGGGGCAACCCUGAUCCAGCCAUGCCGCGUGUGUGAAGAAGGCCCUCGGGUUGUAAAGCACUUUCAGUGAGGAAGAACGCCUGGUGGUUAAUACCCAUCAGGAAAGACAUCACUCACAGAAGAAGCACCGGCUAACUCCGUGCCAGCAGCCGCGGUAAUACGGAGGGUGCGAGCGUUAAUCGGAAUUACUGGGCGUAAAGCGCGCGUAGGUGGCUUGAUAAGCCGGUUGUGAAAGCCCCGGGCUCAACCUGGGAACGGCAUCCGGAACGGGCAAGCUAGAGGGCAGGAGAGGAAGGUAGAAUUCCCGGUGUAGCGGUGAAAUGCGUAGAGAUCGGGAGGAAUACCAGUGGCGAAGGCGGCCUUCUGGACUGACACUGACACUGAGGUGCGAAAGCGUGGGUAGCAAACAGGAUUAGAUACCCGUGGAGGC
This 465-nucleotide ribosomal RNA is filed under the name Vreelandella stevensii. RNAcentral describes it as "partial 16S ribosomal RNA". It matches the Rfam family "Bacterial small subunit ribosomal RNA", at positions 338 to 795 of the family's 1533-position model. The record is from RNAcentral. Lineage: Bacteria; Pseudomonadati; Pseudomonadota; Gammaproteobacteria; Oceanospirillales; Halomonadaceae.